GGGUCAGUAGGUUGGUCGUGCCACCGGUACGUACUGGUCUCACUGAUUCCUCCUUCCUGAAGAACCGUAAUGCCAUUAAUUUGGUGUUGCGGGGAAACAGGACUGUUACUUUGAAAAAAUUAGAGUGUUUAGAGCAAGCUAACGCUUGAAUACAUUAGCAUGGAAUAACGAAAUAGGACGAUCGAUCCUAUUUUGUUGGUUUCUAGGAUUGACGUA
RNAcentral lists this ribosomal RNA (216 nucleotides) under Glomeromycotina sp. Its description in RNAcentral is "partial small subunit ribosomal RNA". The stretch from base 40 to 216 matches the Rfam family "Eukaryotic small subunit ribosomal RNA", at positions 686 to 864 of the family's 1831-position model. Lineage: Eukaryota; Fungi; Glomeromycota. The record is from RNAcentral.